AGAGUUUGGCGGACCCACUCUGUAAGGUCUUUGCACGUGAAAUCCUUUAGGAUCUGUUUGGAUGGUUGGACUCAAAAUUUUAUGGGAUUCAUGGCCCAAUCAUAAAAAAUAUUAGAUUAUAAGUAGACUAGGUUUUAUAUUUAUAAGUAUCCAGAAUCAUUUUUGAGUGGGCUGGUCUGGAUCGGAGAAAAAAAUGACAUACC
RNAcentral lists this long non-coding RNA (203 nucleotides) under Elaeis guineensis (African oil palm). RNAcentral's name for it is "long non-coding RNA (EGUI_LNC028346)". The record is from RNAcentral. Lineage: Eukaryota; Viridiplantae; Streptophyta; Magnoliopsida; Arecales; Arecaceae.